RNAcentral lists this ribosomal RNA (468 nucleotides) under uncultured bacterium. RNAcentral describes it as "partial 16S ribosomal RNA". It matches the Rfam family "Bacterial small subunit ribosomal RNA", at positions 28 to 507 of the family's 1533-position model. The record is from RNAcentral.
GACGAACGCUGGCGGCGUGCUUAACACAUGCAAGUCGAACGGAAAGGCCCUGCUUUUGUGGGGUGCUCGAGUGGCGAACGGGUGUGUAACACGUGAGUAACCUGCCCUUGACUUUGGGAUAACUUCAGGAAACUGGGGCUAAUACCGGAUAGGAGCUCCUGCUGCAUGGUGGGGGUUGGAAAGUUUCGGCGGUUGGGGAUGGACUCGGGGCUUAUCAGCUUGUUGGUGGGGUAGUGGCUUACCAAGGCUUUGACGGGUAGCCGGCCUGAGAGGGUGACCGGCCACAUUGGGACUGAGAGACGGCGCAGACUCCUACGGGAGGCAGCAGUGGGGAAUAUUGCACAAUGGGCGGAAGCCUGAUGCAGCAACGCCGCGUGCGGGAUGACGGCUUUCGGGUGGUAAACCGCUUUCGCCUGUGACGAAGCGUGAGUGACGGUAAUGGGUAAAGAAGCACCGGCUAACUACGUG